AAUGGCCGAAAUAUUGGGAAAUUUUGGAACAAGACGGAGAUAGACUGAAAUUGCAGAGUUUUGAAAAAUUAAAAAACAAAGUGCGAGACUGGCUUCAUUAUUUUCAGAUAAUGGAGGCAUUUAAAUUGGACAAGAAAAUUGGCUUCCAGGUGGAAAGAUCAAAAUUAGAAACAGAACUGUUAGAACCCAAAACUAAGAAUUUGUCAAGAAUGUAUAACUUGCUGCUGAAAUGGAAUACUCAGGAUGAAACGGUAAAAUUGGCUAUGAUUAAAUGGGCACAGGACGUUGGACAUAACAUUAUGUUUGCUGACUGGGAACAGUUGUGGACCACAGGUAUGAAAUUUACGGCAUGUAAUGUCUUAAGAGAGAAUAUUAUGAAAAUGAUAUACAGGUGGUACAUAACCCCAGUCAAGCUUGCAAAAAUCUAUCAUUUGCCCGAUAACAAAUGUUGGAAAUGUAAAGAAACUGAAGGUACAUUUUUUCACCUUUGGUGGACGUGCCCAAAGAUUAAGGCUUUCUGGGAAAUGAUAUAUAAUGAAUUAAAAAAGGUAUUUAAAUAUACCUUCCCUAAGAAACCAGAGGCCUUUCUCCUGGGCAUAGUCGGCCAAAUGGUGUUAAAAAAGGAUAGAACUUUCUUUAUGUAUGCAACAACAGCAGCAAGAAUACUCAUCGCAAAGUAUUGGAAGACACAAGAACUUCCCACGCUGGAGGAAUGGCAGAUGAAACUGAUGGACUAUAUGGAACUGGCGGAAAUGACUGGCAGAAUCCGUGACCAGGGAGAAGAGUUGGUGGAGGAAGACUGGAAGAAAUUCAAAGAUUAUCUUCAGAAACAUUGCAAAAUUAAAGAAUGUUAGAGUGAUGUUGGAUUGAAAAUAAGUGGUUUCCAGCUGUACAGGUUAAAGUUAUUGAUAGACUAAGAUUAAAGAUUAGGAUUAAAGAUGUUUAAGGAAAUGGAAAUUUGGUACUUAAGAGGUAAAAUUUUAAUGUUAUAUUACAUUAAGAUUAAAGAUUAGGAUUAAAGAAGUUUAAGUGUUAUAUAUUAUAUUAAGAUU
Molecule: non-coding RNA, 1052 nt
Organism: Podarcis lilfordi (Lilford's wall lizard)
Lineage: Eukaryota; Metazoa; Chordata; Lepidosauria; Squamata; Lacertidae
Source: the annotation of a GenBank genome assembly